RNAcentral lists this transfer RNA (73 nucleotides) under bacterium. Its description in RNAcentral is "tRNA-Ala". It matches the Rfam family "tRNA". From Rfam's summary of the family: Transfer RNA (tRNA) molecules are approximately 80 nucleotides in length. Their secondary structure includes four short double-helical elements and three loops (D, anti-codon, and T loops). The record is from RNAcentral.
GGGGAUAUAGCUCAGUCGGGAGAGCGCCGCCCUUGCAAGGCGGAGGUCACCGGUUCGAACCCGGUUAUCUCCA